ACCAGAUUGGUGUAACGGUUAACAUCCCGCGUUUUCAAGGUAUCUUGAACAACCGCGGAGCUCGGGGUUCGACUCCCCGAUUUGGUG
This is a non-coding RNA of Gnomoniopsis smithogilvyi, 87 nucleotides long. The record is from the annotation of a GenBank genome assembly. NCBI's taxonomy places the organism in Eukaryota, Fungi, Ascomycota, Sordariomycetes, Diaporthales, Gnomoniaceae.